UCUAUUUUCUUGGACAAAGAUAUUUCAGACAACGCACAUAAAUGUAUCGAAUGUGACACCAGAAACUCUUCAGUGACUGUCGGUGCAAUCUUGGGAGUAACAAAUAUCUUGACAAUAUUGUAUGCAGCAUAUUUGACAGUUGUUAUAAGAAGGUCACGAUCAAGUUCCUUUGGCGUUGGAAGCUUAUGCCACGGAAGACGUGAACCUGAACCUACAGCAACUGUUGCCAAACAGGGUCUGGCAGUUGAUCAACAAACUUACUCUGUAAACGACGAUGAAGACACUUAUGAUUUAUCGUAAUAAGCUAUGGCUAAGGACGUGUUAUACGGAGGUCAUCAUCAAAUUUUUCACAUAGAUAUCCAAACCUUACAUCAUUGUUUACUUUUCCUUGAUGAGCGCAAUUUUUAAGAAAUAACUUACUAUAACUAGAGCAAAAUAGUUUUAAACGUCUGGAGUAUAACUUUCAGAACAUCUGACCACCAGUUCAAUUAUUUAUCUAAAUACAAAAGUAAAUCAUGUUUUUAUUACAAAGAUGGUAGCUAGUACACCAUGUUGUGGGGAAAUAGAUGCUUCAUGUGUGAAGAAGAUGUAACAACUACCGGAAGACUGCAUUCAGUGGUUAAUCAUAACACAAAUUUCAAGGAUUAUUUUUGCAAAGAUCGGAAGAUAUACUAUUGCUGAGAUCUAAAAUAAUCGAACGAAAGCAUCUUAAAGGAAGGCAUAUCUUUGCACUCUGGAUAAUGUGUUUGGUGUCAAAAGAACAAAACUAGCAUCGGGUUAAGAUCUCCCGUGAACUUCUGAAACUUAAUCCAAAAUAUUUUACUACUUUAUUUGCGAUAAAACUAACUGGCGGUGAAACGUGGAAGCACCAUUUUGAUCCAAAUAGAGUGAUAAAUAUGAACAAUCAAAUAAGCACAUGAGCCUUGUAAAUAAAGAAUGAAUGAAAGAUUGAUUGUUUAAACAUUAAUUCUAAAACGCAGCUUUAAAUUCCUGAUAGAUAUGGUUAAAUUUCUGUUAAAUUGUCUUAUAUCAACGAUAUCGUUAUUUAGAAAUUUAAGUUAUA
Molecule: long non-coding RNA, 1063 nt
Organism: Mercenaria mercenaria
Lineage: Eukaryota; Metazoa; Mollusca; Bivalvia; Venerida; Veneridae
Exons: 3
Source: RefSeq, a predicted model, not a curated record